Molecule: ribosomal RNA, 537 nt
Filed under: uncultured archaeon
Lineage: Archaea
Description: bacterial SSU rRNA
Rfam family: Archaeal small subunit ribosomal RNA
Source: RNAcentral
UUUUGUAAGUCUCUUGUGAAAUCUGAUAUCUCAAAUAUCAGGCGUGCAAGAAAUACUGCAUUACUAGAGACUGGAAGGCGUAAGGAGUAUGAUAAAGGUAGUAGUAAAAUACGUUAAUCUUAAUCAGACUAACAAUGGCGAAGGCACCUUACGAGUACAGAUCUGACAGUGAGGGAUGAAGGCCAGGGGCGCGAAAGGGAUUAGAUACCCCUGUAGUUCUGGCAGUAAACACUGCUCACUAAACAUUAGUGCCUCCUCGAGAGGCAUUAGUGCUGCAGCGAAGGCGAAGAGUGAGCUACCUGGGAAGUAUAGUCGCAAGGCCGAAACUUAAAGGAAUUGGCGGGGAGGCACUACAACGGGUGACGCGUGCGGUUCAAUUAGAUUCUACACCGUGAACCUCACCAGGAGCGACAGCAGAAUGAAGGUCAGUCUAAAGGGCUUACCUGACACGCUGAGAGGAGUUGCAUGGCCGACAUAAGCCUGUGUUGUGAGAUGACUUGUUAAAUCAAGUAACAGGCGAGACCCCUGUGUUUAAUU